RNAcentral lists this ribosomal RNA (379 nucleotides) under uncultured eukaryote. RNAcentral describes it as "partial 18S ribosomal RNA". It matches the Rfam family "Eukaryotic small subunit ribosomal RNA", at positions 592 to 976 of the family's 1831-position model. The record is from RNAcentral.
CAAUAGCGUAUAUUUAAGUUGUUGCAGUUAAAAAGCUCGUAGUUGGAUUUUGGGUCGGGGGCACCGGUCCGCCGUUCCGGUGUGCACUGGUGGCCCCUUCCUUUCUGCCGGGGACGUGCGUCGCACUUAAUUGGGUGGCGUUCGGAGUCGGCGUUGUUACUUUGAAAAAAUUAGAGUGUUCAAAGCAAGCCAUCGCUCUGAAUACAUUAGCAUGGAAUAACACGAUAGGACUCCGGUCUUAUUUUGUUGGUUUCCGAGACUGGAGUAAUGAUUAAGAGGGACAGUCGGGGGCAUCCGUAUUUCAUUGUCAGAGGUGAAAUUCUUGGAUUUAUGAAAGACGAACUUCUGCGAAAGCAUUUGCCAAGGAUGUUUUCAUUAA